Molecule: transfer RNA, 75 nt
Filed under: Calditrichota bacterium
Lineage: Bacteria; Pseudomonadati; Calditrichota
Description: Calditrichaeota bacterium tRNA-Gln
Rfam family: tRNA
About the family: Transfer RNA (tRNA) molecules are approximately 80 nucleotides in length.
Source: RNAcentral
UGGGGUGUAGCCAAGCGGUAAGGCACCGGGUUUUGGUCCCGGCAUUCGGAGGUUCGAAUCCUCCCACCCCAGCAA